GAAGACCUUACCCGACUUAGCUGAGAGGUGGUGCAUGGCCGUCGUCAGUUCGUACUGUGAAGCAUCCUGUUAAGUCAGGCAACGAGCGAGACCCACGUCCACAGUUGCCAGCAUACCCUCCGGGGUGGAUGGGUACACUGUGGAGACCGCCGCUGCUAAAGCGGAGGAAGGAGUGGGCAACGGUAGGUCAGUAUGCCCCGAAUCUCCCGGGCUACACGCGGGCUACAAUGGUUGGUACAAUGGGCAUCUACCCCGAAAGGGGAAGGAAAUCUCUUAAAGCCAAUCGUAGUUCGGAUUGAGGGCUGCAACUCGCCCUCAUGAAGCUGGAAUCCGUAGUAAUCGCGUUUCAACAGAACGCGGUGAAUACGUCCCUGCUCCUU
Molecule: ribosomal RNA, 380 nt
Filed under: uncultured Methanosaeta sp.
Lineage: Archaea; Methanobacteriati; Methanobacteriota; Methanomicrobia; Methanotrichales; Methanotrichaceae
Description: bacterial SSU rRNA
Rfam family: Archaeal small subunit ribosomal RNA
Source: RNAcentral